UACGGAGGGUGCGAGCGUUGUCCGGAAUCACUGGGCGUAAAGGGCGCGUAGGCGGCGCGGAAAGUCAACGGUGAAAGCUUGGGGCUCAACCCCGAGUCGGCCGUCGAUACUUCCGUGCUCGAGCACUGUAGAGGCAGGUGGAAUUCCGGGUGUAGCGGUGGAAUGCGCAGAUAUCAGGAGGAACACCGAUGGCGAAGGCAGAUCUCUGGGCCGUAACUGACGCUGAGGAGCGAAAGCAUGGGUAGCAAACAGG
RNAcentral lists this ribosomal RNA (253 nucleotides) under uncultured bacterium. RNAcentral's name for it is "partial 16S ribosomal RNA". It matches the Rfam family "Bacterial small subunit ribosomal RNA", at positions 524 to 776 of the family's 1533-position model. The record is from RNAcentral.